UGAUUUCUCAAGAAUGGAAUAGUAUGAAAAAGGAUUGAUGAAAUUGUGAGAAAUGUGGGAAGUUGGAUUGCUAUUUAUAUUGGUAGAUAGAAAGUUCUCUUUCAUAUGAACUAUUGAGUAUUGACCAAAAUGGGAGGUCUUGAACGUGGUUGGGACACAAUGAAAUGAGAAGAUUAAUAAGGGUGUGGACGUGGCCUGAUUAUUACACAUCUACCAUUCCAUUAUAGACCAGCUUGCAGAGUUAUAUCUUGACAUUUAUAGUCUCUAUACGGUGUUUUUUUUUUUUUUUUUUUUUUUUUUUUUUUUUUUUUGGAAAGAAUGUGGGUCGAAUAAAACUUUAGUCUCACUAUACAAUCUAAAGUAACGAAAAUAAUGUAGAGGUACUAUUGUCCAUAUUCACAUUAAAUCACAUAUUCUACAGAAUCUACAACUUAUAAUCACUUGAAUUAUAAUUUAAACACCAACCAAACAUGCACAGAUGUAUAUAGUGAGUGAACGAUUAUGUCGUAGGGGUUUGAAUUCAAUAUAUAUAAGCCAUAAAUUUUUUCAAAUUAUCAUUGAAAUGAAGCCCAAACAGGGCUAAAUAAAAUUAUCAUUUUUAGUAUAAAUCGUCUGAUUUUCUUUGACAUGUAUGUAAUGGUCCAAUUAUUUUUCGAUCAUUUCAAAAGCCUCCCUCCAACGUAAAGGGGGUAUGGGUUUCAAUUGUAAGUUCAUUCAAGCCCUCAAACUUACUCAAUCUGUCUCUUUGAAUCGUUUCUUGAAAAUUCGCACAUUGAAAACGCUUUCCAGCUUAAAACCAUUCAACUCAAAGCUCUCAAAUUUAAUGAAAGAUGGCUUGGUGUCUGAAGCACAGAAACUGUUCUUUGGAAUGCCCCAAAGAAAUACAGUCACAUAUAAUGCUAUGAUAAGAGGAUAUUUUCAAAAUGGGUUUUUUGAACAAGCUAUGGAUUUGUAUAUUCAAAUGCCGGUUCGGGAUAUUUUCUCGUAUAAUACUAUGAUCUGUGGGUUAAUGCAAUAUGGGGAUGUUAAAGGGGCUGAAGAGAUUUUUGACUGUAUGGGGUGCACAGAUAUUGUCACUUGGAAUUCAAUGAUUUCUGGAUACAUUGAUAAUGAUUUGAUGGAUGAUGCAGUGAGAAUAUUUAAUGCGAUGCCUAUGAAAGAUGUUGUUUCGUGGAAUUUGGUUAUUGCAGGACUGGUGAAAGUUAAGGAGUUUGGUAAGGCUGAGCAAAUGUUUAGGGGGAUGAGCACGCGGGAUGUUGCAUCUGGUACUAUUAUGAUGAAGGGGUUUUUGGGAGAUGGUCGAAUUGAAGAAGCAAGGGAAUGUUUUGAUAAUAUGCCUAUAAAGGAUGUUCAAGCUUGGAAUACAAUGAUCAGUGGUUACGUGCAAACUGGACUUGUUGAGAUUGCGGAAGUCUUGUUUCAUAAGAUGCCUGAAAAAGAUGGGAACUCAUGGAAUGAAAUGAUGGAUGGGUUUGUAAGUGUUGGUAGGAUAAUUGAUGCCAUGAAGCUUUUCGAUGAAAUGCCUCAAAAAUGUGAAAGAUUAUGGAAUUUAAUAUUGUUGGGAUUGGUAAGGAACGGUUUGGUGAAAGAAGCUCAUGCCUUGCUAGAGAAAAACUCAUAUAGUAAUAUAGUGUCAUUGACGAAUGUGAUGAUUGAAUACUUUAAUAAUGGAAACGUUGACAGUGCCUUGAAAAUUUUUGAAUGGAUGCCUGUUCGUGACACAACUGUAUGGAAUGCCACUAUUUGGAUUGGGAGAAAAUGAUCGUAGCGAGGACAGUAUAAAAUUGUUCAUCAAAAUGAAAGAAGAUGGUAUGUUCCAGGAUGAAGCUACAUUUACAAGUUUACUUACCAUAUGUUCAAACCUUUCGUCCUUGAACCUUGGUAAAGAAAUUCAUGCAGAAGUAAUUAAGGUGGGGAUUAAUUGCUUUAUCCCUGUUAGUAAUGCAUUAGUGACCAUGUAUUUUAGAUGUGGAAAAAUGGACUCUGCAGUACUUGAAUUUUAUUCCAUGUCCGGCCAUGAUGUUAUUUCUUGGAAUUCUGUAAUUAGUGGAUUAGCUCACCAUGGGCAUGCUGAACAAGCUAUAGAGAUGUUUGAGAAAAUGAGAUUAUCAAAUGUGAAGCCUAAUCAAAUAACUUUUGUAGGUGUCCUUUCUGCAUGUGGCCAUGCCGGCCUUGUUGAACAUGGUAAAUAUUACUUUAAUAUUAUGCAAAAUGAGUAUUUUCUUCACUCAACAACUGAGCAUUAUACUUGUAUUGUUGAUCUGUUGGGUAGAUUUGGACUUAUAGAUGAGGCAAUGAAUAUUUUGGAUCAGAUGGGUGUAUUAGGACUAGAAGUUCCAGCAAGUGUUUGGGGAGCAUUGUUUGGAGCAUGUAGAAUGCAUGAUAACAUCACUAUAGGUGAGAUUGCUGGGAACAAGAUUCUGGAAUUAGAGCCUUCUAACUCUGGUGUGUAUAUGAUUCUAGCCGAAAUAUACCUGGCUAGUGGGAGGAAAGAUGAGGCAGAAAGGAUAUCGGUUCGCAUGAAAGAGAAUGGUGUUAAAAAGCAGCCUGGCUGUAGUUGGAUUGAGUCAAACGAUGGUGGCCAAGUAUUUCUUGCAGGGGACAAAACACAUCCUGAGUUUAAGUUCAUCUCCCAUGUUAUAGACUUGAUAUAUAUGGAGAUGGAGAUAGAACAUUUGAAAUCAGAUUUUGCUUCAUUCUCUGAAUCUAUAGAAGGCAUGUAGCUAAUAUUGAAGCAGCUGUUGCUUGAACAUUUGUCUGUGGAAAAUGAUCUAUUUUUUGGAAUAUUGAAGAAUGUGUAUUGAUGAGUAUCAGAAUCUCUAAAGAGAAGUCAUGGUCCAGCCAUCACGAGGAAGUGGAAGUGUAAUACAAAAGAAAACUAUUGAUUGCAGAAGGCAAUUGACCCCUCUUGGCCUAAUAUAAAUUGUGUGGCUAACAAAGGUAGUGGAAUGACAAUCUCAUGAUCAUAUUGUGGCUGACUACUAAAUUCAAAUAACAAUUUAAUCUCUUAGAUGGCCUAUUGUGUCCAGCCCCAUACAAGAUUCAGCAAAGGGACUGCUGAUCGCACAGGUAAGAUAUGUGUGUAUAAGUCAGAUGCUAUAACGGAUGAAUGAGUUUUCCAAACUGACUUCAUUUAUGAGGACAGGGAUGAAAAAUGAAGCCUCCUUUAUGGAUCUCUCCACCAUUAUGUCCCUGGAAAAUAACUUGAUUAACAUAAUGCUGGAACCUUGUAUGGCGAUGGUGAUUGCAUCAUUAGGCUGGAUCAUUCUUACGAGAACUGCGUAGAUGCUAGGCGGAAACAGACUUGAUGUUGGCCGUUCAUUCAAUUAUUCGGGGUGAAGGACCAUGGGGCGUUUAUCGAUGAACAGCGGAUUGACUGAGCUUUUGGCAUUGCUUUGUUUUUCUCUCCUUUCCUAUCAGCAAGUGCAGUCUUGAUUGAUAAUGGGAGUGGUUUGAAUGUUUGCACGUUGAGCAGUAUAUAGGAUAUUUUAAGACGCAUCAGAUACCACCUCUCUUUUGAUUGAUAUUCAGUAUCCCACAUCAACUGAGAAGGGAACCAGGUUGCUGGCUUACUUGCGUCUGAGGGUUUGCACCGUCGCUGUUAUCAGAAUAUGUUCCUCUCUUACUUCCUCACUGGAUACUUGCUCUUCUUUUGAUAUACAGACAUGGUCUUCCUAACUUUAGGGUCAUUAGAGACUUUUACGUGCUUCAUCUUUGUGUGGGAAGUAAAACUCUCCCAUUUAUUUCACCUCUUCAUAUGUCGCACUCUUUUAUGUUCGGAGGUCAGGUAUAUGUCCUUCGAUAUAUUAAAUAGUUGGGAAAUCCUAACCUCCAUUCUUGGUGGAACCUAAAAACUAAGUAAGGUUGUGUUGAUGCUUUGCUUUAUAAAAAUAAAGGGAUGCUAUUCAUGUGAUUAAUUUAGCAAUUUAAAUAAACACUUUCCCAGCUAUUAAAGCUGUAAAUUUGCAAAAAGAUUGAGUUCAGCUUGUUUUUCCGAUUUCACAAGUAAUUGUUUCGUAUUUUUCUCGCUGCUAUUCAUCGUGUUCCUAGUGGCUUUUGAUUUUAUGCAACAGUUUCAUUUUAUAUUUGUAAGCAGAGAAUUUGUGUACCAUUAAAACUUACCAAUCUAUUUUUUAAUAAAAAAAAAAUUCUACUCGUAUUUUCAUAGAAUUAUCUUUUUUCUUUAUUAUGGGGUAUGCUUGUGAUGUAUGAACUUGUUCAGUUUUGUUAAUCUCUGUUUCGAUACAUCAGAUAGAUAAAACCAAAUAUUGUGGCGUUAAGUGAUGAAAGUUCUUGGUCUUCUCCUCCCCAGAUUUUAAGGAUGAAUAAAGACUCAUUCGGUUUGGAUUGUUUGCAGUGAUGAUUUUACACUCGGGCAGAUUAAACAUUAUGGAUCCAUAAGAUGAAGCAAACCAUCACACAGUUAAAAUGAAGUAAAUCCUCUUCCAUUAAUUAUUUAAAUACGAAUUCAACCAAGAGUACUUUGAAGCUUUUCAGUACAACACUGAUCUUAUUCUGCAGAAAAUGCAAAUGCAGCAUUUCUAGGAAACAUAAAUCACUCAAUUGUAUAAUAUUUUAGGCAGUGUAAAUUUAAGCAACAUGUUUAAUUGUAGGCAUCGGGAUUUGCUUGGAGAUAAGCUUCUACAGUCUUGAAAAUUCCCAUGGCCUUCUCUUUACCUUCCUUGAUCUUCUCCUCGGAAAUCUGGGCAUCACCCUUGGUGUUGUAAAUGCUCCUGUUCUUGCAGAUAGAUCCUCCAUCAGCAGCCGGAACAAUUUUGACAUGGUAAUUGAUCGACUCCAGAACGUCCAUCAGAGCAUCCCCUUCAAUGAUGCUGUAGCUAUAUGUCAAAUUUUCUUUGUCAAUAUUUUCAACACGGUGCUUGACACUCUUGAACUGGCUUCCUUCGCCAAAAGUGAUAACCUUGAUGGUUCCGACUUCACCGUCUCCCUCAAGGAUUUCGACACUUUUGAUGGCUUGAGGCAGGAUCUUGGGGAUGAGGUUGUCAGAGUCGAGGAUAAUGGACUUGAACAACUUUCCGGCCGGGAUUGAUGAAGUGAUCUCCAUAUCAUAAGUGAUGGCACCCAUGAUGAUUUCUCAAGAAUGGAAUAGUAUGAAAAAGGAUUGAUGAAAUUGUGAGAAAUGUGGGAAGUUGGAUUGCUAUUUAUAUUGGUAGAUAGAAAGUUCUCUUUCAUAUGAACUAUUGAGUAUUGACCAAAUGGGAGGUCUUGAACGUGGUUGGGACACAAUGAAAUGAGAAGAUUAAUAAGGGUGUGGACGUGGCCUGAUUAUUACACAUCUACCAUUCCAUUAUAGACCAGCUUGCAGAGUUAUAUCUUGACAUUUAUAGUCUCUAUACGGUGUUUUUUUUUUUUUUUUUUUU
This 5381-nucleotide long non-coding RNA is filed under the name Olea europaea (common olive). Its description in RNAcentral is "long non-coding RNA (OEUR_LNC008251)". Lineage: Eukaryota; Viridiplantae; Streptophyta; Magnoliopsida; Lamiales; Oleaceae. The record is from RNAcentral.